GGCCAAACCACCCCGAACAUGCCCAAUCUUGUCUAAUCUCAGAAGCUAAGCAGUGUCGGACCUGGUUAAUACUUGGAUGGGAGA
Molecule: ribosomal RNA, 84 nt
Filed under: Ailuropoda melanoleuca (giant panda)
Lineage: Eukaryota; Metazoa; Chordata; Mammalia; Carnivora; Ursidae
Source: RNAcentral